UUCUCCUUCUUCUCUUCUUUUCCUUCUUCUUCUUUUUUUUCUUCUCCUUUCUCCUUCUUCUUCUUCUUCUUUCUCCUUCUUCUUCUUCUCCUUCUUCUUUCUUCUCCUUCCCUUCCUUUUCCUUCUUCUUCUUCUUCUCCUUCCCUUCCUUUUCCUUCUUCUUCAUCUUCUUCUUUCUUCUCCUUCCCUUCGUUUUCCUUUUAAC
RNAcentral lists this long non-coding RNA (205 nucleotides) under Hordeum vulgare. RNAcentral's name for it is "long non-coding RNA (HVUL_LNC015520)". Lineage: Eukaryota; Viridiplantae; Streptophyta; Magnoliopsida; Poales; Poaceae. The record is from RNAcentral.